AACGCUAGCUACAGGCUUAACACAUGCAAGUCGAGGGGAAACGACAUCGAAAGCUUGCUUUUGAUGGGCGUCGACCGGCGCACGGGUGAGUAACGCGUAUCCAACCUGCCCAUCACUUGGGGAUAACCUUGCGAAAGUAAGACUAAUACCCAAUGACGUCUCUAGAAGACAUCUGAAGGAGAUUAAAGAUUUAUCGGUGAUGGAUGGGGAUGCGUCUGAUUAGCUUGUUGGCGGGGUAACGGCCCACCAAGGCGACGAUCAGUAGGGGUUCUGAGAGGAAGGUCCCCCACAUUGGAGCUGAGACACGGUCCAAACUCCUACGGGAGGCAGCAGUGAGGAAUAUUGGUCAAUGGACGAGAGUCUGAACCAGCCAAGUAGCGUGCAGGAUGACGGCCCUAUGGGUUGUAAACUGCUUUUAUAAGGGAAUAAAGUGAGUCUCGUGAGACUUUUUGCAUGUACCUUAUGAAUAAGGACCGGCUAAUUCCGUGCCAGCAGCCGCGGUAAUACGGAAGGUCCGGGCGUUAUCCGGAUUUAUUGGGUUUAAAGGGAGCGUAGGCCGGAGAUUAAGCGUGUUGUGAAAUGUAGACGCUCAACGUCUGCACUGCAGCGCGAACUGGUUUCCUUGAGUACGCACAAAGUGGGCGGAAUUCGUGGUGUAGCGGUGAAAUGCUUAGAUAUCACGAAGAACUCCGAUUG
Molecule: ribosomal RNA, 696 nt
Filed under: uncultured bacterium
Lineage: Bacteria
Description: bacterial SSU rRNA
Rfam family: Bacterial small subunit ribosomal RNA
Source: RNAcentral